Erpetoichthys calabaricus (reedfish) is the source of this 586-nucleotide non-coding RNA. Lineage: Eukaryota; Metazoa; Chordata; Cladistia; Polypteriformes; Polypteridae. The record is from the annotation of a RefSeq genome assembly.
UGAGCUGAACCUUAAUAUCAAUCUGUAAUAUAUAUGUUGGUCAAGUGAGCACAUUCAUCAAAGCUCAGCAAUCAUCUUCCUUUCUUGUCUGUCUGCAGGUGCAGUGCGGUGGUCAGUUUGCAUAAAGACGCCCCCCUUAGUGACGCCCAUCUCAGUUCAGCACUCUGAUUGCAUUUAUAAUUUCCUGAAGGAAACACACUCAGAAUCUACAGCCACCAUGACUGCACUGGUUCUGCUUUCUGUCUUCAUAGCCUUCAUUCAAGAUUCAGUAUGUCAGAUUUCUGUGAAUCAACCAUCAGCACCAAAGUCAGUUCCUCCUGGAGGGAGCGUCACCUUCACUUGUACUACUGGGAGUAGUGUGGGUGCUGCCAUGGCCUGGUACCAGCAGAGACCUGGACAAACUCCUAAACUACUGAUCUAUAGCGCGAGCACUCGCUAUGGUGACACCCCGAGUCGCUUCAGUGGCAGCGGGUCAGGAACUUCAUUCAGUUUGACCAUUAAUGGAGUGCAGCCUGAAGACGCCGGUCAUUACUACUGUCAGCAGGGCAGCAGCUUACCACACAGUGAUUGAGACUCAUACAAAAAC